AAUGGUUGUUGUCUGAGUAUUAUUGAAAUAUAGAGAAAGAGAAAUCAAGAGCUGCUAAGAGUGACUUGAAAUUCAAAGAAUUAGUAGAGGUUAACGGGGCUUUCAAGUUUGAUGUUGCUGUCUAAAGUUAGGGAUUUGAGAAGGGUUAAGGCAAGAAGAUGAAUCCAGAAGAAGAGAAGGAAGAACGGGAGAAAUUCUGCUGCUUUCAUGGAUUGAUGAAGCCGGUGGAAUUAGAGAGUAAUAAAGAAGAACCUGAUGCUGUUGGAUAUAGAAAUAAAUGGCGGAGGUUGAAGAGAUGGGUUAAACUCGAUUUUGGUUUGAUUUUGGUGAAAAAAGAAAGGGGGUUUGAUGAAUUUAGGGUUUGAAUUGGUUUUCUGGGUUCAUGAGAAAUGAAGAAAUUGGUGAUGCUGAGGGGUUCUCUAACUAGGUUCUGCAAUGGGUUUGAAUCAGAAGCUGAGAAUAUGUAGCUGUUAGUUAAUGGCAGAGAAGCUGGUAAAAUUAAUGUUUGAGGCUUACAGGUGCAGGUGAUGAUGGGUUGAGCCACAGCUGAUGCUGUCAACUGUUGGCAGUGAAGAAUUUGAGGAGAUAAGGUUGACCUUUACAAAUAGAAUUGGAGGAUAAGAACUGUGCUGCUUUGAAGGAAUCUGAGAAUGGCAUCAGAUGUGAAUGAUAUGGGGUUUCUGAAGUGGUGUUUGAAGGUUGUUACAGUGAAAUAUUUGUUGCUGCUGGUGGAGAUGUUAAAGGGUUAUGAGAAGCAGCAGAUGAAUUGAAGCUGGUGGUUCAAGAUGAGCUGCAGAAGCAAUCGCAAGUGAUUAAGCAAGAUUAGAAGAAUGAGUUGAAGCCGCAAUUCAGGGAAGAUGGCUUGUGAAACAGAGAACAAGGGAAUUCAUGGCGCAGCCGUGAUUCUGAUGGGAACAGUUGCAAGCUGGUGAUAUUGGUGCUUGUUGUGAGCAGUAGAAGAAGAAUAGGAAGCUACAGGUUGAUAUUGGCCUAAUUGUGUACUAUGGAGUUACAAGGAUGGUGGUGCAGUUCAAAGCCAAGAAAGGUUGCUGGUGCCUGUUGAGCCUUUAUGUGACAGGAAUGGAUGUAAGAAUGGGUUUAUAGAUGAAUGUUAGGAUCCAGGUACAAAGUGAAGUGGCAGAGAUUCAAGUUACAAGAUAAGAGGAUGUUGUCGAUGCUGUUCUUCUUGAGUCAGGAUUGAGAAGCGCAGAAGAUGUUGAAUGAAGCAGUACUGGACAGAGUUGAAGGUGCACAGUCGAGAAAUGGAAUAUGGAAGUACAAUAAAAGUGUGGCUGAGGUUGUAUGCUUCAUAUGGUUAUGCGAGGAUUUUCAAGGAAUGCAGCGCCAUCUUGGCGCGAGAUUGAGCAAAGUUCUGUGGUGGUUCCGAGGUACAAACUACAGGGCCGCAGGGGUGCUGGUAGUGAUAUCUUGAACUUGAGUUAAAGCUGCAGAAUUGAGCUGAGCUUGGUUGCAUUUGAGCUGAACUGAGACGGCAAAGGUUCUGGUGGAGUGAUGCACCGUCAUGGAUGACACUGGAGCUGUUUAUGGUGAAAUUGCAAUGGAACCGGUUGUGUGUGUGAUGAUUGGUUGAAGAAUGAAGGAGUUAGUGAUUUGUUGGGUUAGAUGGAAACUGGAUGAAGAACAAACAUAUGGGUGGACCUGAACUGUUGUCGUGGUUGGAUGUGUACAAGGCAUGAUUGCCAUUGGAUAGGAGUUGGUUUGAAGUAGGUUGUCGGUUCUUUAGAACUGACAAGCCAAAUAUUCAGUGAGCUAAUGGGCUGGACUGGAAUUGCCUAGAGUUGUGGGCUGAGUUAAGACAAGUAUGUAGUCAAGUUUUAAACGUGACCAGUUGAAGCAGUUAGGAGAAAAAAACAGGAAGUCUAUAAAAGGGUUUCACAUCUCAUGUAUGGGAGAUCUUAUCUUCUCUUCUAUUUUUGUCUAGGGUUUUAGAAACAUGAUACGUUUUUUUUUCCUUCUUGUUAUGAACUCCACUCUCAUGUUUAGAUAAUUCUUUUUUGGUUUAGGAAUAAGUUGGAGUUCCAACCAUGAUAUUUAUGCAAUGAAUUAGUUUUGUCUCCA
Long non-coding RNA from Papaver somniferum (opium poppy), 2079 nucleotides. RefSeq lists it as uncharacterized. The transcript has 2 exons. Lineage: Eukaryota; Viridiplantae; Streptophyta; Magnoliopsida; Ranunculales; Papaveraceae. The record is from RefSeq and is a predicted model, not a curated record.